AUUGAACGCUGGCGGCAUGCUUUACACAUGCAAGUCGAACGGCAGCGCGGGCUUCGGCCUGGCGGCGAGUGGCGAACGGGUGAGUAAUGCAUCGGAACGUGCCCAUUAGUUGGGGAUAGCCCGGCGAAAGCCGGAUUAAUACCGCAUACGACCUGAGGGUGUAAGCGGGGGACCGAAAGGCCUCGCGCUCUUGGAGCGGCCGAUGUCGGAUUAGCUAGUUGGUGGGGUAAAGGCUUACCAAGGCGACGAUCCGUAGCUGGUCUGAGAGGACGACCAGCCACACUGGGACUGAGACACGGCCCAGACUCCUACGGGAGGCAGCAGUGGGGAAUUUUGGACAAUGGGGGCAACCCUGAUCCAGCCAUGCCGCGUGCGGGAAGAAGGCCUUCGGGUUGUAAACCGCUUUUGUUCGGGAAGAAAACCUCUGGGCUAAUACCCCGGGGGGAUGACGGUACCGGAAGAAUAAGCACCGGCUAACUACGUG
Molecule: ribosomal RNA, 484 nt
Filed under: uncultured bacterium
Lineage: Bacteria
Description: partial 16S ribosomal RNA
Rfam family: Bacterial small subunit ribosomal RNA
Source: RNAcentral